UACGUAGGGUGCAAGCGUUGUCCGGAAUUAUUGGGCGUAAAGAGCUCGUAGGCGGUCUGUCGCGUCUGCUGUGAAAACUCAGGGCUUAACCCUGAGCUUGCAGUGGGUACGGGCAGACUAGAGUGCGGUAGGGGAGACUGGAAUUCCUGGUGUAGCGGUGAAAUGCGCAGAUAUCAGGAGGAACACCGGUGGCGAAGGCGGGUCUCUGGGCCGUAACUGACGCUGAGGCGCGAAAGCGUGGGGAGCGAACAGG
RNAcentral lists this ribosomal RNA (253 nucleotides) under uncultured bacterium. RNAcentral describes it as "partial 16S ribosomal RNA". It matches the Rfam family "Bacterial small subunit ribosomal RNA", at positions 524 to 776 of the family's 1533-position model. The record is from RNAcentral.